This 72-nucleotide transfer RNA is filed under the name Ictidomys tridecemlineatus (thirteen-lined ground squirrel). Its description in RNAcentral is "Spermophilus tridecemlineatus (thirteen-lined ground squirrel) tRNA". It matches the Rfam family "tRNA". From Rfam's summary of the family: Transfer RNA (tRNA) molecules are approximately 80 nucleotides in length. The record is from Rfam by way of RNAcentral. Lineage: Eukaryota; Metazoa; Chordata; Mammalia; Rodentia; Sciuridae.
GGGGAUAUAACUCAGUGGUAGAGUGCUUGCCUAGUAUGCAUGAAGUCCUGGGUUCAAUCCUCAGUACCACCA